AGCUGCCAGCAACCCAGUUCCAGGAGAGAAAAUAGCUUGACACCUCCUGCGGCCCAUGGAGUCCUCCCAUUGGGACAAGGACCCCCCAGGAGAGAGAAGCCCCCAGCAGAGUCAACACUGGAGGGCCAGAGACCAUGGUGCCCGGGGCUGUGGACCACGCCAGCCCACAGCCACUGCAAGCUCCAGACCAGUGCUGUGGAUAAUGCCAGCCCACGGCAGCCACAUGCCCCAGACCAACACGAGAAGAACGCAGGCUGACAACAUCUUCAUCUAUGCUCUCGCCACACUCAGUCAGUGUCCACUGGGGGCCUCGGGGGCACCUCCACCUGCCCAGGUCUGGGACCACCGUCCUCCAUGCGUAUCUACAGACCCUGUCCUCACCUGCAUCACAGCAAUGAUGGCGUCACAGCGUGGGUUCCGGUCACCAGUCGGCCUCCCCCACCAACGUGGACUCCUUACAAGCAGGGCCACCAACGUGGACACGAUCCCAUCAGGAACCACCUACUUUUGCAUCCCCAGCACUGUGCUCAGGUCCCAGGGAGGCCCCAGAAAACUGUGGAACAACCGAACUCGUGACUGAAUGAACAAGUAUGUUAAGUUGUUAAGUAGAAAAUAGCAGAAGACUUAGUAGAAUGUAUGAGUAACGUUACAAUUGUAUGAAAAUCAGUAUCCACGAGGAAGGUAUUAUGCAAAAAAGGCUUAACUUUGUUUCAGUGCCUUUCCAAUUAAAUGUUGUUAAGCAGUAUUUCCCCCAAAAGGUGCGUCUUUUAUAAAACAAGAACACAAGGCUCUGAGGCCAACUUUGAACAUUUAUUUGAGUGAAUUCACGUCCCCCGAAUUUUCCGUAUCCCAAAAUCUGGACUUUUGCUAAAUGGUGCCCUUAGCACAGAAGUCUCUCCAAGGAAGUGGCCUGAGCUGAGAGCGGGCCUGGCAUCGCCCGCCCAGAUCAUCAGUCAUCAGCAGCAGCAGCUGCGGCAUGACAGAGAUGGUGUGGGGUGAAACCAAUGGGUAAACUACAAAAGAAACCACCUGCUACCGCAAACGGCCUCGCUGUACUCAGGGAAUCGGUUCCAGGACCCCAUGGACACCAAAUUCAGGCACAUUCAAGCCCCACAAGUGGACCUGCCGAACCUGCAUGUACAGAGUCGGCCCUCCGACACACGUUUCACAUGGCAGGAACGCUGUAUUUUCUCCCUGAGUUUGGUUGAAAAAAUCCACAUAUAAGUUGACCCGCAAAGCUCAAGCUUGUGUGGUACGAGAGUCAACUGUAUGCAAUUGACACUGAUUCCUACCAACAAUAUCCAAAUCUUAGCAUGAACAGCACGAUAAACAGAAUGAGCAAAAUUCAAAAACUAAAGCAGCGUUUUUCCUGCAAGUGGGCGCACUGCGUAUCCCCUGCGGGAAAGACCACGCUGGCUGCUGACCAAACUCCACUGGCAUCUUCCUCCAUCCUGAGGGCAUCUUCCUCCAGCCCAACGGCAUCUUCCUCCAUCGACAGCAGCCUGGGCUCACCUCCCAGCCCGAGGCUGAGAACUGGGUUCCAGUCCCGGGGAGGGGCGGUGCACUGUUCACCCUCCCAGCUCUCCUCCGCCCCUUCCCUCAGGCUGGCCCAAGAACAGCCUGGACAAUCACCUGCUGGGGACACCGGGCUGCCCCUCCUCCGCCCACAGCCUCAGGCCACCUGUCUUAUCCGUGACCGAGACACGGAGCUGCAGUGGGAGGCGGAACAUGCUGGGAUCUACCCAUGGCCAGGCCGAGCUGCGCCAAUCACUCAAGCUUCACUUUGAUCACUUGCUCUACCAAAUAAAACAGAACAAAAUAA
Long non-coding RNA from Gorilla gorilla gorilla (western lowland gorilla), 1822 nucleotides. RefSeq annotates it as DIP2C antisense RNA 1. Lineage: Eukaryota; Metazoa; Chordata; Mammalia; Primates; Hominidae. The record is from RefSeq and is a predicted model, not a curated record. The transcript has 3 exons.